Molecule: non-coding RNA, 280 nt
Organism: Pelobates cultripes (western spadefoot toad)
Lineage: Eukaryota; Metazoa; Chordata; Amphibia; Anura; Pelobatidae
Source: the annotation of a GenBank genome assembly
AGGCAGAUCAGAGGCACAGCCCAAACAAGCCAAACACAGCAAAUAAGCAUCUCCUCGUAGAGAUGUCUAUGAGGAAAGUUCAGUGUCUCCACACUGUGCAGCACUGAUCCAAGAAUUAUCUCUAGUAGCCAUCUAGGUUCGAAUGGUACACACUGCAUUUUCUCUGAAAAGACAGUGUUUACUGCAAAAAGCCUGAAGGGAAUGAUUCUACUCACCAGAACAAAUUCAAUAAGCUGCAAUUGUUCUGGUGACUGUAGUCUCCCUUUAAAUUUGAAAUCCC